Molecule: long non-coding RNA, 1329 nt
Organism: Oncorhynchus tshawytscha (Chinook salmon)
Lineage: Eukaryota; Metazoa; Chordata; Actinopteri; Salmoniformes; Salmonidae
Source: Ensembl
UUAGAGAGGAGGAGGGAGGACUAUUCUAGUACAGCUACAAUAGAGAGGAGGAGGAGAGAGAACCAGUCUAGUGCAGCUACAUUAGAGAGGCGGAGGAGGGAGAACCAGUCUAGUACAGCUCCAUUAAAGAGGAGGGAGAUCCAUUCUAGUAUAGCUACAUUAGAGAGGAGGAGGGAGAACCAGUCUAGUAAAGCUACAUUAAAGAGUAGGAGGAGGGGGAACCAGUCUAGUACAGCUACAUUAGAGUGGAGGAGGAGAGAGAACCAGUCUAGUACAGCUACAUUUGGGAGGAGGAGGAGGGAGAACCAGUCUAGUACAGCUCCAUUAAAGAGGAGGGAGAUCCAGUCUAGUAUAGCUACAUUAGAGAGGAGGAGGGAGAACCAGUCUAGUAAUGCUACAUUAAAGAUGAGAAGGGAGAACCAGUCUAGUAUAGCUACAUUAAAGAGGAGGAGGAGGGAAAACCAGUCUAGUAUAAAUACAUUAGAGAGGAGGAGGAGGGAGAACCAGUCUAGUAUAGCUACAUUAGAGAGGAGGAGGAGGGAGAACCAGUCUAGUACAGUUACAUUAAAGAGGAGGAGGAGGGAGAACCAGUCUAUGGUAGAUACAUUAGAGAGGAGGAGGAGGGACAACCAGUCUAGUAUAGAUACAUUAUUGAGAAUAGGAGAAGGGAAAACCAGGAUAGUAUAGAUACAUUAGAGAGGAGGACGGAAACCCAGUCUAGUACAGCUACAUUAGAGAGGCGGGAGAUCCAGUCUAGUAUAGCUACAUUAGAGAGGAGGAGCGAGGACCAUUCUAGUACAGCUAUAUUAGAGUGGAGGAGGAGAGAGAACCAGUCUAGUACAGCUCCAUUAGAGAGGAGGGAGAUCCAGUCUAGUAUAGCUACAUUAGAGAGGAGGAGGGAGGACCAUUCUAGUACAGCUAUAUUAGAGUGGAGGAGGAGAGAGAACCAGUCUAGUACAGCUACAUUAGGGAGGAGGAGGAGGGAGAACCAGUCUAGUACAGCUACAUUAAAGAGGAGGAGGAGGGAAAACCAGUCUAGUAUAAAUACAUUAGAGAGGAGGAGGAGGGAGACCAGCCUAGUAUAGCUACAUUAGAGAGGAGGAGGAGGGAGAACCAGUCUAGUAUAGCUACAUUAGAGAGGAGGAGGAGGGAGAACCAGUCUAGUACAGCUCCAUUAAAGAUGAGCGAGAUCCAGUCUAGUAUAGCUACAUUAGAGAGGAGGAGGAGGGAGAACCAGUCUAGUAUAGAUACAUUAGAGAGGAGGAGGAGGGAGAACCAGUCUAGUAUAGCUACAUUAGAGAGGAGGAGGAGGGAGUACCAGUGUAGUAC